GGAAGUUUUCGGAUGGAAGCAAUAAACCUUAGCGGCGGACGGGUGAGUAACGCGUGGGUAACCUGCCUCAUACAGGGGGAUAACAGUUAGAAAUGACUGCUAAAACCCCAUAAGCGCACAUUGUCGAGUGACAGAGUGUGAAAAACUCCGGUGGUAUGAGAUGGACCCGCGUCUGAUUAGCUAGUUGGUGAGGUAACGGCCCACCAAGGCGACGAUCAGUAGCCGGCCUGAGAGGGCGACCGGCCACAUUGGGACUGAGACACGGCCCAAACUCCUACGGGAGGCAGCAGUGGGGAAUAUUGCACAAUGGGGGAAACCCUGAUGCAGCGACGCCGCGUGAGUGAAGAAGUAUUUCGGUAUGUAAAGCUCUAUCAGCAGGGAAGAAGAAAGACGGUACCUGACUAAGAAGCCCCGGCUAACUACGUGCCAGCAGCCGCGGUAAUACGUAGGGGGCAAGCGUUAUCCGGAUUUACUGGGUGUAAAGGGAGCGUAGACGGCUGUGCAAGUCUGAAGUGAAAGCCCAGGGCUCAACCCUGGGACUGCUUUGGAAACUGUGGAGCUAGAGUGCUGGAGAGGUAAGUGGAAUUCCUAGUGUAGCGGUGAAAUGCGUAGAUAUUAGGAGGAACACCAGUGGCGAAGGCGGCUUACUGGACAGUAACUGACGUUGAGGCUCGAAAGCGUGGGGAGCAAACGGGAUUAGAUACCCUGGUAGUCCACGCGGUAAACGAUGAAUACUAGGUGUUGGAGAGCAAAGCUUUUCGGUGCCGUCGCAAACGCAAUAAGUAUUCCACCUGGGGAGUACGUUCGCAAGAAUGAAACUCAAAGGAAUUGACGGGGACCCGCACAAGCGGUGGAGCAUGUGGUUUAAUU
Molecule: ribosomal RNA, 870 nt
Filed under: uncultured bacterium
Lineage: Bacteria
Description: bacterial SSU rRNA
Rfam family: Bacterial small subunit ribosomal RNA
Source: RNAcentral